UGCAAGUCGAGCGAACAGACGAGGAGCUUGCUCCUCUGACGUUAGCGGCGGACGGGUGAGUAACACGUGGAUAACCUACCUAUAAGACUGGGAUAACUUCGGGAAACCGGAGCUAAUACCGGAUAAUAUAUUGAACCGCAUGGUUCAAUAGUGAAAGACGGUUUUGCUGUCACUUAUAGAUGGAUCCGCGCCGCAUUAGCUAGUUGGUAAGGUAACGGCUUACCAAGGCAACGAUGCGUAGCCGACCUGAGAGGGUGAUCGGCCACACUGGAACUGAGACACGGUCCAGACUCCUACGGGAGGCAGCAGUAGGGAAUCUUCCGCAAUGGGCGAAAGCCUGACGGAGCAACGCCGCGUGAGUGAUGAAGGUCUUCGGAUCGUAAAACUCUGUUAUUAGGGAAGAACAAAUGUGUAAGUAACUAUGCACGUCUUGACGGUACCUAAUCAGAAAGCCACGGCUAACUACGUGCCAGCAGCCGCGGUAAUACGUAGGUGGCAAGCGUUAUCCGGAAUUAUUGGGCGUAAAGCGCGCGUAGGCGGUUUUUUAAGUCUGAUGUGAAAGCCCACGGCUCAACCGUGGAGGGUCAUUGGAAACUGGAAAACUUGAGUGCAGAAGAGGAAAGUGGAAUUCCAUGUGUAGCGGUGAAAUGCGCAGAGAUAUGGAGGAACACCAGUGGCGAAGGCGACUUUCUGGUCUGUAACUGACGCUGAUGUGCGAAAGCGUGGGGAUCAAACAGGAUUAGAUACCCUGGUAGUCCACGCCGUA
This 766-nucleotide ribosomal RNA is filed under the name Staphylococcus epidermidis. RNAcentral's name for it is "bacterial SSU rRNA". It matches the Rfam family "Bacterial small subunit ribosomal RNA", at positions 56 to 804 of the family's 1533-position model. The record is from RNAcentral. Lineage: Bacteria; Bacillati; Bacillota; Bacilli; Caryophanales; Staphylococcaceae.